This 615-nucleotide ribosomal RNA is filed under the name uncultured Clostridiaceae bacterium. Its description in RNAcentral is "bacterial SSU rRNA". It matches the Rfam family "Bacterial small subunit ribosomal RNA", at positions 1 to 630 of the family's 1533-position model. Lineage: Bacteria; Bacillati; Bacillota; Clostridia; Eubacteriales; Clostridiaceae. The record is from RNAcentral.
UAGAGUUUGAUCCUGGCUCAGGACGAACGCUGGCGGCGCGCCUAACACAUGCAAGUCGAACGGGAUCUUUUUGGAGCUUGCUUUAGGAAGAUCUAGUGGCGGACGGGUGAGUAACACGUGAGCAACCUGCCGAAGAGUGGGGGAUAACGUCUGGAAACGGACGCUAAUACCGCAUAACGUACAGAGAUGGCAUCAUUUUUGUACCAAAGGAGCAAUCCGCUUUUUGAUGGGCUCGCGCCCGAUUAGAUAGUUGGUGAGGUAAUGGCUCACCAAGUCGACGAUCGGUAGCCGGACUGAGAGGUUGAACGGCCACAUUGGGACUGAGACACGGCCCAGACUCCUACGGGAGGCAGCAGUGGGGAAUAUUGCACAAUGGGGGAAACCCUGAUGCAGCGACGCCGCGUGAGUGAAGACGGUCUUCGGAUUGUAAAGCUCUGUCUUCGGGGACGAUAAUGACGGUACCCGAGAAGGAAGCCACGGCUAACUACGUGCCAGCAGCCGCGGUAAUACGUAGGUGGCGAGCGUUGUCCGGAAUUACUGGGUGUAAAGGGAGCGUAGGCGGGAAGCCAAGGUUAGAUGUGAAAUACCGCAGCUCAACUGCGGGGCUGCAUCUAA